Molecule: microRNA, 21 nt
Filed under: Oreochromis niloticus (Nile tilapia)
Lineage: Eukaryota; Metazoa; Chordata; Actinopteri; Cichliformes; Cichlidae
Description: oni-miR-10590
Source: miRBase by way of RNAcentral
UGUGUUUACCUGGACAUAGUU